AUGGCCGGACAACAGGAGGAAGGAGCUGACGGUGGUCAUAGUUUGCCUCUACCUUGCUGUGUGCCAAAGACAGAUCCAGAAGAUAUGACGGGCAAAGCUUGCUGCAUGUGUAGCACCGCUAGUUGCUCCCUACUUGGCAUAUUAUCUUCACUUGGUGAUGUGAAAGUUAGCUACUGUGAUCAAGGAAAUAGCAUGUAUCUUUGUGGUUUGUUCCUGCUGUUGAUCGGCGUUGCUGUGCUUAAGCUGCUGGAGGGGAAAGAGCAGAGGAUCCGAGAGGCGAAGCAACCGAAGGAGCCGGAGAACAUGACCCCUGCCUAUGUACGGCCAUAUCCCCCAUGGCUUCUACAAGGACCAGAUGCAAGGUUUCUUUUAGGAGCUUGGGGCUAUUAA
This 390-nucleotide ribosomal RNA is filed under the name Triticum aestivum (bread wheat). Its description in RNAcentral is "partial small subunit ribosomal RNA". Lineage: Eukaryota; Viridiplantae; Streptophyta; Magnoliopsida; Poales; Poaceae. The record is from RNAcentral.